This 200-nucleotide ribosomal RNA is filed under the name uncultured bacterium. RNAcentral describes it as "partial 16S ribosomal RNA". It matches the Rfam family "Bacterial small subunit ribosomal RNA", at positions 8 to 205 of the family's 1533-position model. The record is from RNAcentral.
AGAGUUUGAUCCUGGCUCAGAGCGAACGCUGGCGGCGUGCUUAACACAUGCAAGUCGAGUGCGUGUCCGUAGCAAUACGGAUGACGCACGGCGCACGGGUGCGUAACACGUGGGCAAUCUGCCCUCGGAUGGGGGAUAACCCCGCGAAAGCGGGGCUAAUACCGCAUGACAUUCCCGGGACUCCGGUCUUGGGACUCAAA